This 469-nucleotide ribosomal RNA is filed under the name uncultured bacterium. RNAcentral's name for it is "partial 16S ribosomal RNA". It matches the Rfam family "Bacterial small subunit ribosomal RNA", at positions 28 to 507 of the family's 1533-position model. The record is from RNAcentral.
GACGAACGCUGGCGGCGUGCUUAACACAUGCAAGUCGAACGGAAAGGCCCUGCUUGCAGGGUGCUCGAGUGGCGAACGGGUGAGUAACACGUGGGUGAACUGCCCCUUACUUUGGGAUAAGCCUGGGAAACUGGGUCUAAUACUGGAUAGGACCAUGCUGUAGGUGGUGUGGUGGAAAGAUUAGUUUCGGUAAGGGAUGAGCUCGCGGCCUAUCAGCUUGUUGGUGGGGUAAUGGCCUACCAAGGCGUCGACGGGUAGCCGGCCUGAGAGGGUGGACGGCCACAUUGGGACUGAGAUGCGGCCCAGACUCCUACGGGAGGCAGCAGUGGGGAAUAUUGCACAAUGGGCGCAAGCCUGAUGCAGCGACGCCGCGUGGGGGAUGACGGCCUUCGGGUUGUAAACUCCUUUCAGCCAUGACGAAGCCCUUGUGGUGACGGUAGUGGUAGAAGAAGCACCGGCUAACUACGUG